CAGCACCCUAGCUGCCCGGCCGGCCCAGCUCGGCUCUGGAGGGCGUCCCUCGCAUCUGGACUCCCUCUGCCCGAGGGAGGAGCCGCAGCCGCGGUCGCCCCGCCCCUGGCGUUCUUUGACUCCCCCGGCCUCUUGGACAUCUGGGUGCGGGGGUUAGUGCAUCAGAUGUGGCUCCUGGGCCGCCAGAUGUGCGCGUUCCCCGCCCGGGGCAGGCGGCCGGCGAGUCUGGGAGGACGCGUGGGAGGGGCUGGGAGUUUUCCCUCCUAGCAGACUUAAAAGCCAGCAGAACCUCCAGCCCCCUGGGCUCCCGGCCUGGGCCUCCUGGGUCUCCGGGACGCACUGCCCAACGGAAAAGUUUUCAGCCCAGUCUGUGCCUCGCCGCCAAGCAGCCCUUGGGGCUUCUCAAAGUGGUAGAGAAAAUAGGACAGCUCUACAGGAUGCCCCAAAGAAAACCCUCAUUUGUCGACCAGGCGACCUUAGUGCUGGCGUGGGACUACAGCUGCGCAGCCAGCAAACCCCAGUUGGGGGAGGGGGAGAAGUGGCAGUAGAGUUCGCAUCUGGGGCUUGCUCUAAAGCGCUCUUUGACUGCUUUUGGAUUCCAUAUUUGAAGUUGAGAGUCGUAUUCCACCUGGUACAGGCAGUUCAGGGCAGGAGAAAAGCCAAGUGAACUCUGUGACUCAAUCCCCUUGGAAUGUGCCUGGAAUAAUAAUAGGGACUUGAAAGGGUUUUAUGGCCGAGGUGGCUAGUGGAGAGCAGUCUCCUACGCCUUGCAGUUGGCGGUCGGCCGAGGGGGGCAGUAUUGCCUUAUGCAGAGCUUCUGCGCCUGCAAACGGGACAAAAAUAGUCGGAGCAUCUGGUUUAAAUCAACCAAAAAGCAUUUCUAUCAGCUUAAUCCACCGGCCUACAGAACUGACAGAACAGGACAAGCCAAAUAUAUUCCCGGUACUCUUUUAACACUCCAAUAAUAGCUAAGCCCAAUCACACUUUACCGCUGGGAUUUCUGUGUCCUACCAUACAACUGUCGUUAUUUUAUAGAUGUUGCAAAUUAAACUUCCUUUUCUGGAGUUGUGUGUGGGCAUGUGCUUAAGCAGUUACAUUUGCAAGCAACGCUCGACUACGCUGCCCUUUUCGUUUUCCUUUUUCUUUCUCUCUUUUGGUAUGAGGUCUUAGAAUAGUCAAAAGUAUCUAAGGCCAACAUAUGGGUUGCUUACACCACUAAAUAUAUAGCUGCAUUUCCCUCUCUUAACGCCCUAAUCAGGAUUCCAAAGUGGCCGCUACCAAGUCCCGUUCUUGGAAAGUGGCCAACAGUCUGUCUGGUGGAGGGUGCUGCUAAUUAGAGAGAGCCCAUAAACCUCUCUGUCAAAGAGGGCAUGUGACCUUCUCUUCAAGUCUGAACAAUAAAGCCGGCGAACUGCAGACUGCACUCAACACUGGCUGCCCCGCGGAUUCCCUAAAUAGGAACAGGAUGAAGGCCAGGCUCAAGAGGUUACCAUAGCUCUGCUCCCACACUUUGAGGAAUCGGUCACUCCACUUCCCCAUAUAACUUGUUUCAAUUACUCUCUACAAUCUAUUUAGAGGAGAGCAGCUUGCAGAGAGCACUCAUUGUCUAAUCUAAAUGAGGAAGCAAUUAUUACUUGCUGCAGUCUAAUGUGCUUUGAGACUGGUGGGUCAAAGAGCAACCUGAUUUCUUGUAACGUGUCUUUGCACUUUGGAAGAUACACCUUUUUAAUGACAUUUAUUUACUCCUGCUUUUAGGACACAUUUUUCUUUCUAUUAAGAUUACAAAAUUAAGGUGUUUUUCCCCUUCUCAGUCUUCAAUGUCCUUUUUAAUUUUAGAAUUUAAGCUAUUGUAAACACCCCAAGUACUUUUGCAUAUUGUUUAAUGUUAAAUAUUAUUUUUUUUAGUGCUUUCUUAUAGGCAUGUUCUCUGAUUAUAGCAAAAUAGAGUUCUCUAAGUCUUCCCUUCUUUGUUUAAUUUACCUCCCUGGGAGCCCCCUUGCUAGCUUUAAUUUUAUACAACAUGUUGUAAACUAUAAAUAAUACAGCUCCACUUUCCUAGAACAUAUGGAAACUGUCGCCUGCUAUAUAUCCUAACUGUACUUGCUUUCAGCUUAAAGACUGAAUAAAGUUAAUCUCCUGUGUAAAAAGGCAUUUAGCCUUUUGUGUGUGUGUGUGUGCAUUUUAUUAGUUAAAACCCAGUAUGGAACAGCACAUGAAAUUCUUGUUGUGAACAGAGCACAUAAAAGGGUUUACAAGGUGUGGUUUGAAGAGAGGAAGCC
RNAcentral lists this long non-coding RNA (2279 nucleotides) under Homo sapiens (human). RNAcentral's name for it is "LNC_000535". Lineage: Eukaryota; Metazoa; Chordata; Mammalia; Primates; Hominidae. The record is from RNAcentral.